GACGAACGCUGGCGGCGUGCCUAAUACAUGCAAGUUGAGCGCUGAAGGUUGGUACUUGUACCGACUGGAUGAGCAGCGAACGGGUGAGUAACGCGUGGGGAAUCUGCCUUUGAGCGGGGGACAACAUUUGGAAACGAAUGCUAAUACCGCAUAAAAACUUUAAACACAAGUUUUAAGUUUGAAAGAUGCAAUUGCAUCACUCAAAGAUGAUCCCGCGUUGUAUUAGCUAGUUGGUGAGGUAAAGGCUCACCAAGGCGAUGAUACAUAGCCGACCUGAGAGGGUGAUCGGCCACAUUGGGACUGGGACACGGCCCAAACCCCUACGGGAGACAGCAGUAGGGAAUCUUCGGCAAUGGACGAAAGUCUGACCGAGCAACGCCGCGUGAGUGAAGAAGGGUUUCGGAUCGUAAAACUCUGUUGGUAGAGAAGAAAGUUGGUGAGAGUGGAAAGCUCAUCAAGUGACGGUAACUACACAGAAAGCGACGGCUAACUACGUG
This 497-nucleotide ribosomal RNA is filed under the name uncultured bacterium. Its description in RNAcentral is "partial 16S ribosomal RNA". It matches the Rfam family "Bacterial small subunit ribosomal RNA", at positions 28 to 507 of the family's 1533-position model. The record is from RNAcentral.